Molecule: ribosomal RNA, 458 nt
Filed under: uncultured bacterium
Lineage: Bacteria
Description: partial 16S ribosomal RNA
Rfam family: Bacterial small subunit ribosomal RNA
Source: RNAcentral
CCUACGGGUGGCAGCAGUGAGGAAUAUUGGUCAAUGGGCGAGAGCCUGAACCAGCCAAGUCGCGUGAGGGAGUACUGCCCUAUGGGUUGUAAACCUCUUUUGUCGGGGAGCAAAAGCCGGACGUGUCCGGCUGUGAGAGUACCCGCAGAAAAAGCAUCGGCUAACUCCGUGCCAGCAGCCGCGGUAAUACGGAGGAUGCGAGCGUUUUACGGUUUUUUUGGGUUUAAAGGGUGCGCAGGCGGAUUUUUAAGUCAGCGGGAAAAACGUUGGGCUCAACCCCAUCCAGCCGUUGAAACUGGGGAUCUAGAGUGUGCGAGAGGUAUGCGGAAUGCGUGGUGUAGCGGUGAAAUGCAUAGAUAUCACGCAGAACCCCGAUUGCGAAGGCAGCAUACCGGUGCACAACUGACGCUCAGGCACGAAAGCGUGGGUAUCGAACAGGAUUAGAUACCCCAGUAGUC